GCGAGCGGACAUGACGUGUGGCUGUCGUAAAAACCCUGUUUGUAAACAACCAGUCCUUUUAACUCGGGGCUGCGUCAUAAACACGGAGCGCUUGGAAGACCACGAUGUCAUCUUCCUUCUGUCAGGAGGAUCCAAGUGAAGCUACAGGAGUUUCAUUAACGUCAAUAACUUGGACCGAACACUUUGUUUUGCUUGAUGAAGAGCAGGAAGGGCAGCCUGGAGAGAAAGAGAAGCCGGGUUGAGCCCACUACCAUCAUCCACGUACCACGAGGAAGAUGAGGGAGAGAAAUGAUCCUACCAUUAAAGAGACUGUGAAAAGAACGUUGAGAACAUCACCACUCUACAGGAAGACACAGUCCAGUAAUGGGUGUCAGAAGUUCAGUAGUGAACGACAGGUACUGUGGAAAAAUGUGUGUCAUUGUUGUACAAUGUCCUUUGACUCUGUUUACACAAGGUUAACACAAAAAGGUUUGAUUGUAAAGUGAUAUUGGUAUGAAUUCAUGUUAUUCUCCUCUUCACAAGAAACAAACAAUCCAAAUUACCUGCAGAACGCCCUUGAUGGACGCUUCAGCUGCAUCGUCAGACUGGCCAGACAGCAAGAUGCCAACUUUAAUGCCAAUUUAUUUGUGUAACAUUCUGUGACCAAAUGUAUAGAUAACUUUUUGUAGAUUGUAAAAAUAGAUAACCCAUUUAUUACAAAAAAACUACACUAGAAUUACCGCACUGCGUUGUAUGACUCCGCUAACCAGAGCAGUGUCCGUCUACAUAUUUCUACAUAUUUUCUCUCAUAUAAAUGACACUGUAUCUCUUGACAACUGAAACCAUAAGAUGAGGUCAGUGUGGCCUUGACCUUUUUACUUUAAGACAAAUACAAACAUAGACAAUCCGAAAACAUGCAGUUAUGCCUCCGGCGACUCGCUAUUGCAGAGGCAUUAAAACCGUAGUGUAGUAGAUUGGAUUUUAUUGGUGUUACAUUGGACAUCUUGUAUGGGUACACCAAAAAAUAUAUUUGGUUUCACAUUCUAGAUGGCAAUAAGCAGAGUCAUCAACUCAGGAAAAAUAUUUCUGUAGAAAAGAAAGCCCUGUAUGUGUGUAUGUAUACAUACACACAAACGCACUAUUGAGACGUUUUGUUUUUUAUCAUAUAUUCUCAGGCAGUACUGAUGCAUUUACUGAGAGGGGACGUGAGGGCCUACUCUGCGUGCUCAGAGUUCAAGCCCAGCAGGCUGCAGCGGGCCUGACAUAUUCUGGAACAGCAGCACAGUCUUUAGAUGACUCCUCUGAAGAUGAAAACAUGGCGAGUUCUUCUCAAGAGAAGCAGUACAGGUGUGCCUCAGCUCCACGGUCCCUCCUGCAGCCUCCGCUCCUGAUGCUAACCUCAUGUCUCCAUCACACCAAGCAGCAGACCUGGAUUGACAGACCUUUCUCCAGAGCUGCCCCCUCCCUCUGAAACCCCCCUCUCCAAAACACUAUUUGUGUAGUUUUUAAAGUCUUUUUUGCAUGAGAAUUGUUGAUCAUAUCAUUUCCAGCAGAUGCCUUAAUAUAAUGUUUGUGCACAAUAAAUGACAUUGAUCAUAACAU
This is a long non-coding RNA of Pleuronectes platessa (European plaice), 1581 nucleotides long. RefSeq lists it as uncharacterized. The transcript has 4 exons. Lineage: Eukaryota; Metazoa; Chordata; Actinopteri; Pleuronectiformes; Pleuronectidae. The record is from RefSeq and is a predicted model, not a curated record.